RNAcentral lists this ribosomal RNA (429 nucleotides) under Chloroflexota bacterium. Its description in RNAcentral is "Chloroflexi bacterium partial 16S ribosomal RNA". It matches the Rfam family "Bacterial small subunit ribosomal RNA", at positions 355 to 776 of the family's 1533-position model. The record is from RNAcentral. Lineage: Bacteria; Bacillati; Chloroflexota.
UGGGGAAUAUUGCACAAUGGGCGCAAGCCUGAUGCAGCCAUGCCGCGUGUGUGAAGAAGGCCUUCGGGUUGUAAAGUACUUUCAGUCGGGAGGAAGGUGGUAAGGUUAAUAACCUUAUCAAUUGACGUUACCGACAGAAGAAGCACCGGCUAACUCCGUGCCAGCAGCCGCGGUAAUACGGGGGGUGCAAGCGUUAAUCGGAAUUACUGGGCGUAAAGCGCACGCAGGCGGUUGAUUGAGUCAGAUGUGAAAUCCCCGGGCUUAACCCGGGUAUUGCAUUUGAUACUGGUCAGCUAGAGUCUUGUAGAGGGGGGUAGAAUUCCAUGUGUAGCGGUGAAAUGCGUAGAGAUCUGGAGGAAUACCGGUGGCGAAGGCGGCCCCCUGGACGAAGACUGACGCUCAGGUGCGAAAGCGUGGGGAGCAAACAGG